RNAcentral lists this ribosomal RNA (497 nucleotides) under uncultured bacterium. RNAcentral describes it as "partial 16S ribosomal RNA". It matches the Rfam family "Bacterial small subunit ribosomal RNA", at positions 28 to 507 of the family's 1533-position model. The record is from RNAcentral.
GAUGAACGCUGGCGGCGUGCCUAAUACAUGCAAGUCGAGCGAACAGAUGAGGAGCUUGCUCCUCUGACGUUAGCGGCGGACGGGUGAGUAACACGUGGAUAACCUACCUAUAAGACUGGGAUAACUUCGGGAAACCGGAGCUAAUACCGGAUAAUAUAUUGAACCGCAUGGUUCAAUAGUGAAAGACGGUUUUGCUGUCACUUAUAGAUGGAUCCGCGCCGCAUUAGCUAGUUGGUAAGGUAACGGCUUACCAAGGCAACGAUGCGUAGCCGACCUGAGAGGGUGAUCGGCCACACUGGAACUGAGACACGGUCCAGACUCCUACGGGAGGCAGCAGUAGGGAAUCUUCCGCAAUGGGCGAAAGCCUGACGGAGCAACGCCGCGUGAGUGAUGAAGGUCUUCGGAUCGUAAAACUCUGUUAUUAGGGAAGAGCAUAUGUGUAAGUAACUGUGCACAUCUUGACGGUACCUAAUCAGAAAGCCACGGCUAACUACGUG